This 292-nucleotide ribosomal RNA is filed under the name uncultured bacterium. RNAcentral's name for it is "partial 16S ribosomal RNA". It matches the Rfam family "Bacterial small subunit ribosomal RNA", at positions 505 to 796 of the family's 1533-position model. The record is from RNAcentral.
GUGUCAGCAGCCGCGGUAACACGUAGGGCGCAAGCGUUGUCCGGAAUUAUUGGGCGUAAAGAGCUCGUAGGCGGUCUGUUGCGUCCGCUGUGAAAACCCGGGGCUUAACCCUGGGCUGGCAGUGGAUACGGACAGACUAGAGGUAGGUAGGGGAGAAUGGAAUUCCCGGUGUAGCGGUGAAAUGCGCAGAUAUCGGGAGGAACACCGGUGGCGAAGGCGGUUCUCUGGGCCUUACCUGACGCUGAGGAGCGAAAGCGUGGGGAGCGAACAGGAUUAGAAACCCCAGUAGUCC